ACCGCUAAAGUAGAUGAUUUAUAUUAUUUUAUAUAUAAAUUUUGAAACUUUAGUGAGUAGGAAGGUACAAUGGUGUGCUUAGAAGUGUUUGGCGUAAGCCUGCAUGGAGCCGCCAUUGGUACAGAUCUUGGUGGUAGUAGCAAAUAAUCGAAUGAGACCUUGGAGGACUGAAGUGGAGAAGGGUUUCGUGUGAACAGUGGUUGAUCACGAGUUAGUCGGUCCUAAGUUCAAGGCGAAAGCCGAAAAUUUUCAAGUUUUAAAAAUGUCAAAUGAAAUAAUAAAUAAUAAAACACUUGAAUAAUUUUGAACGAAAGGGAAUACGGUUCCAAUUCCGUAACCUGUUGAGUAUCCGUUUGUUAUUAAAUAUGGGCCUCGUGCUCAUCCUGGCAACAGGAACGACCAUAAAGAAGCCGUCGAGAGGUAUCGGAAGAGUUUUCUUUUCUGUUUUAUAGCCGUACUACCAUGGAAGUCUUUCGCAGAGAGAUAUGGUAGAUGGGCUAGAAGAGCAUGACAUAUACUGUUGUGUCGAUAUUUUCUCCUCGGACCUUGAAAAUUUAUGGUGGGGAUACGCAAACUUCUCAACAGGCCGUACCAAUAUCCGCAGCUGGUCUCCAAGGUGAAGAGUCUCUAGUCGAUAGAAUAAUGUAGGUAAGGGAAGUCGGCAAAUUAGAUCCGUAACUUCGGGAUAAGGAUUGGCUCUGAAGAUUGAGAUAGUCGGGCUUGAUUGGGAAACAAUAACAUGGUUUAUGUGCUCGUUCUGGGUAAAUAGAGUUUCUAUCAUUUAUGAUAGUUAUUUGUUCCCCGGAUAGUUAGUUACGUAGCCAAUUGUGGAACUUUCUUGCUAAAAUUUUUAAGAAUACUAAUUUUUAAUUAGUUCUUUUAAAUUAUAACGAUUAUCAAUUAACAAUCAAUUCAGAACUGGCACGGACUUGGGGAAUCCGACUGUCUAAUUAAAACAAAGCAUUGUGAUGGCCCUAGCGGGUGUUGACACAAUGUGAUUUCUGCCCAGUGCUCUGAAUGCGGGUCAACGGCGGGAGUAACUAUGACUCUCUUAAGGUAGCCAAAUGCCUCGUCAUCUAAUUAGUGACGCGCAUGAAUGGAUUAACGAGAUUCCUACUGUCCCUAUCUACUAUCUAGCGAAACCACAGCCAAGGGAACGGGCUUGGAAUAAUUAGCGGGGAAAGAAGACCCUUUUGAGCUUGACUCUAAUCUGGCAGUGUAAGGAGACAUAAGAGGUGUAGAAUAAGUGGGAGAUAUUAUUCCUUGUGUUUGAUAUCGCCAAUGAAAUACCACUACUCUUAUUGUUUCCUUACUUACUUGAUUAAAUGGAACGUGUAUCAUUUCCUAGCCAUUAUACGGAUAUAUUUAUUAUAUCUUAUGGUAUUGGGUUUUGAUGCAAGCUUCUUGAUCAAAGUAUCACGAGUUUGUUAUAUAAUCGCAAACAAAUUCUUUAAUGAGAGAGUGCAUUUAUGUAUUUUUAAUUUGAAAUAUUUGGUAUAACUCCAAUUACUCAGGUAUGAUCCAAUUCAAGGACAUUGCCAGGUAGGGAGUUUGACUGGGGCGGUACAUCUCUCAAAUAAUAACGGAGGUGUCCCAAGGCCAGCUCAGUGCGGACAGAAACCACACAUAGAGCAAAAGGGCAAAUGCUGACUUGAUCUCGGUGUUCAGUACACACAGGGACAGCAAAAGCUCGGCCUAUCGAUCCUUUUGGUUUAAAGAGUUUUUAACAAGAGGUGUCAGAAAAGUUACCAUAGGGAUAACUGGCUUGUGGCGGCCAAGCGUUCAUAGCGACGUCGCUUUUUGAUCCUUCGAUGUCGGCUCUUCCUAUCAUUGUGAAGCAAAUUCACCAAGCGUUGGAUUGUUCACCCAUGCAAGGAACGUGAG
RNAcentral lists this ribosomal RNA (1884 nucleotides) under Drosophila willistoni. RNAcentral describes it as "eukaryotic LSU rRNA". It matches the Rfam family "Eukaryotic large subunit ribosomal RNA", at positions 1351 to 2956 of the family's 3401-position model. The record is from RNAcentral. Lineage: Eukaryota; Metazoa; Arthropoda; Insecta; Diptera; Drosophilidae.